Long non-coding RNA from Paramisgurnus dabryanus, 1655 nucleotides. RefSeq lists it as uncharacterized. Lineage: Eukaryota; Metazoa; Chordata; Actinopteri; Cypriniformes; Cobitidae. The record is from RefSeq and is a predicted model, not a curated record.
UGACUACAUUAAUAAUGACUUUGCGUAUUAAACAAACUGUCUGCUUAAUCAGAUUAACAGACCCGCGUCAGUUACUUCGCUACGCCACAAGCAACACUUGAUUCAAUUAGAAAAAGCUUUUUUAAAUGUCUCGCGUGACGUCUGGUAUAUUAACUGAAAAAAAAAUCGCUUUGAAGUGGCCACACCUUAAAGCUGACGUUUUCAGAAGAGCACCUUGUUGUUUUAAGAUCUCAUUUUGUCCAACAUUGCGUCCUAUGACAGAUAUAAUACUUAUUUCAUUAUUGCUCUGUGUAUGUGUGGUCUUCAUCAAUCAUUUGAGGUUGUGUGUUGAUUUCACCUCUGAAUAUUUCCUCUUAUAGGUCCAUCAUCCUUGCAUGCGCUAUACACUCAAAAGCAUUGAUAAAUGCUGAAUUUAAAAGAAUCACUACUGUCUUAUGUUCCUGUGUCACCUGGACCUCCAAUCCAAAAACCUGAUGAAACUCUUCUAUCAGAAAGGAGGACAGCUAGCAAAAAGACUUCAAACAAUUAAUGAUCAAAUGACAGAUGGCAUGGAUGAAGUCAGCAUCAGUGAGGUCAUUUGAAGACACCACUGUUGGGAUUUGUGCUCUCAAACAACAUGCUUCUUGUGAUGAAGAAGAGGAUCUUUGUAUAGUCCUGGAAGCCAUGAAGGUGUUGCAACAUCUUGCCAUGUUGUUUGAGCUGAUGUAUGCCUUAAACCUGAGCUAUCCUGAUCUCCGCUUUAUUUUUGAGGAAAUCCAAAAGAUUUUAAUGGAACUGCAUUGAGAGUAACUUUAACGAACUGUUUCUUUCAGUGAAAGGAUCAGAAAGACUGUGCUGCUCAUUUUUUACUUUGUUUAUCUGUUUUAAGUGUUUUCUCUUAUUAAUACAUUAACAGUUUGCUGCUCAGAGUCGAUUUUGGAAAUGUUUGUUGUAUUUUGUUUUUGUUGAAUCUUUGAUUAACAGUUUAUACAAAUGCUGUAGCUCUGACUUUCAUAAGGAUUGAUAUUUUCCAGUUUGUAAAUCCAUUUUAAAAAUAAUAGUACUUACUGUUUUGCAUGUCACUUGGAAUGCAGUGUUUGUGCUUUAGCACUUCUAAAUCUAUUGUGAUAGUAACUAUUUUAAACAUUUGGGUCAGUUUCACAGAUGGCUUUUCCUAGUUCCAUGCUUUUGCAAUGCCUUAAUUUGAAAACAUAUUGCACUGACAUAUCUUGACAUAUAUCAGUGCCAUUGUUUUGUCUAAAGAUGUACUCCAGUGUUGAUUUUGUAAGGUAGGUUUGUUUGUAAACUUUUUUUGUAAAACAUCUUAAUAUAACUUAGGGCCUAGUCAUGGCUUAAUCUACAACCUUUCUGGGAAAUUGCCCCUUUAUGUAUGUACUGCAUGUGCUGAUUGUUGUAAUAGUAAUUGACUGUUAUUGAAUUAAUGUGUAGUGAUUUAAAUGAAUUGAUGAUCUGAAAGCAGUGGUUUGCCUCAAUAUCACUAAACAUUUGUACAAAACUCUUUGCUUUUUAUGCCAAUGCAAAUGUAUUUUGUAUUUAAAAAACAAUAAAUAACAUUUGGAUAAUUAUGGGUGAUUAUUCUGGUGCCAAAGACAUAAUGAAAUUGCUUUAGAGUUACAUAAUCCCAUAAUAUAAGCAUUAAAAAAGCAUGUUGGAAU